GGCCGUAUGCCCGAGUGGUCAAGGGCUCCGAGUGCAAAUCGGGUGUGCGUCGGUUCGAUUCCGACUGCGGCUUC
RNAcentral lists this transfer RNA (74 nucleotides) under Virgisporangium aurantiacum. RNAcentral describes it as "tRNA-Cys". It matches the Rfam family "tRNA". From Rfam's summary of the family: Transfer RNA (tRNA) molecules are approximately 80 nucleotides in length. Their secondary structure includes four short double-helical elements and three loops (D, anti-codon, and T loops). Lineage: Bacteria; Bacillati; Actinomycetota; Actinomycetes; Micromonosporales; Micromonosporaceae. The record is from RNAcentral.